RNAcentral lists this ribosomal RNA (253 nucleotides) under uncultured bacterium. RNAcentral's name for it is "partial 16S ribosomal RNA". It matches the Rfam family "Bacterial small subunit ribosomal RNA", at positions 524 to 776 of the family's 1533-position model. The record is from RNAcentral.
UACGAAGGGGGCUAGCGUUGCUCGGAAUCACUGGGCGUAAAGGGCGCGUAGGCGGCGUUUUAAGUCGGGGGUGAAAGCCGGUGGCUCAACCACAGAAUGGCCUUCGAUACUGGGACGCUUGAGUAUGGUAGAGGUUGGUGGAACUGCGAGUGUAGAGGUGAAAUUCGUAGAUAUUCGCAAGAACACCGGUGGCGAAGGCGGCCAACUGGACCAUUACUGACGCUGAGGCGCGAAAGCGUGGUGAGCAAACAGG